This 407-nucleotide ribosomal RNA is filed under the name uncultured bacterium. RNAcentral describes it as "partial 16S ribosomal RNA". It matches the Rfam family "Bacterial small subunit ribosomal RNA", at positions 30 to 526 of the family's 1533-position model. The record is from RNAcentral.
AUUGAACGCUGGCGGCAGGCCUAACACAUGCAAGUCGAGCGGAGCGGCGGACGGGUGAGUAAUGCCUAGGAAUCUGCCUGGUAGUGGGGGAUAAAGUCCGGAAAAGGGCGCUAAUACCGCAUACUAUCAGAUGAGCCUAGGUCGGAUUAGCUAGUUGGGGGGGUAAAGGCCUACCAAGGCGACGAUCCGUAACUGGUCUGAGAGGAUGAUCAGUCACACUGGAACUGAUACACGGCCCAGACUCCUACGGGAGGCAGCAGUGGGGAAUAUUGGACAAUGGGCGAAAGCCUGAUCCAGCCAUGCCGCGUGUGUGAAGAAGGCCUUCGGGUUGUAAAGCACUUUCAGCGGGGAGGCGUUACCCACAGAAGAAGCACCGGCUAACUCCGUGCCAGCAGCCGCGGUAAUAC